UAAAAUAAUUUAUUGAUCAGAAACAAAUAUCUAUGAUAAUUACAUAAAUAGGAACAAUAAAUAAAUGACUGACAUAAAGAUCCUGUUACAAAUGGCGUAAAAUGAUCUGAAACUAUUGUCACAGUGCACAGAUAGACUAAAUAGUAACAGCUUUUAAAAUUCCACCGCAUCUCAUUUUAAAUCCUGUAUAAAAUAUUACUUGAUUUUGAUUAGUACUUCUAAAAAUGUUGGUAUUUAACUUUCUAAACUUCUUUGUGAGUUUGUCCUAGAUUAGGGUUACCAUUCGUCCGGAUUUACCCGGACAUGUCCUCCUUUUCGUGCUAAAAAUAGCAUCCGGGGGGAAUUUGUAAAGCACUCAAAAUGUCCGGGAUUUCCCCCCUCCCCUGGCAGAGCAGAGCGAGCGGCUGGGAGGGCUGCAGGAAAGUCACGGGCUGGACUUCGGAGCAGCUGUAGAGGAGCCGGAUCCGCCCUGCAUUCUGAGCCAGCAGCUCUCCCCUGCAACCCGGUCCGGCAGCACUGUGCAGGGCCAGGGACCGGGUUUUGUUGUGCUGGGGAGCGCAGCCACAUGUCCGGCUCGGCUCGCACAGAGCCCAACACCCUGUUCUGAGCAGCAGGGAAACGUCUCAAGCUCCGGUAUAUGAUGAGGACAGAGUGAAUGUAUCGCAUGACACGUCAAGCGUUCUGGAGUGUUAGAAGUCACUGUGGGAAGAAUCGGCAGAGAGGAGGGAUUCCAUUGCAUCCUUCUGUUUUAACCUCAGUAGUUGCAGCAGCCGGAGCUGAAAGGAAAUAGGGAAUGGUUGAAAUACAAAGGGAAAAAAUAUAAUUUUCAUUGAAUUGAUCUCAAUAAAUUAAAUGAAAAUA
Molecule: long non-coding RNA, 861 nt
Organism: Malaclemys terrapin pileata
Lineage: Eukaryota; Metazoa; Chordata; Testudines; Emydidae
Exons: 2
Source: RefSeq, a predicted model, not a curated record